Molecule: ribosomal RNA, 236 nt
Filed under: uncultured bacterium
Lineage: Bacteria
Description: partial 16S ribosomal RNA
Rfam family: Bacterial small subunit ribosomal RNA
Source: RNAcentral
UACGAAGGGGGCUAGCGUUGUUCGGAAUUACUGGGCGUAAAGGGCGCGUAGGCGGCCUGCUAAGUCGAACGUGAAAUCCCCGGGCUCAACCCGGGAACUGCGUCCGAUACUGGCUGGGCUUGAAUCCGGGAGAGGGAUGUGGAAUUCCAGGUGUAGCGGUGAAAUGCGUAGAUAUCGGGAGGAACACCUGUGGCGAAGGCGGCUUUCUGGGCCUUACCUGACGCUGAGACGCGAAA